UACGUAGGUGGCAAGCGUUGUCCGGAAUUAUUGGGCGUAAAGGGCUCACAGGCGGUUUCUUAAGUCUGAUGUGAAAGCCCCCGGCUCAACCGGGGAGGGUCAUUGGAAACUGGGAAACUUGAGUGCAGAAGAGGAGAGUGGAAUUCCACGUGUAGCGGUGAAAUGCGUAGAGAUGUGGAGGAACACCAGUGGCGAAGGCGAGUCCCUGGACAACUCCUGACACUGAGGCACGAAAGCUAGGGGAGCAAACAGG
RNAcentral lists this ribosomal RNA (253 nucleotides) under uncultured bacterium. Its description in RNAcentral is "partial 16S ribosomal RNA". It matches the Rfam family "Bacterial small subunit ribosomal RNA", at positions 524 to 776 of the family's 1533-position model. The record is from RNAcentral.